Molecule: ribosomal RNA, 324 nt
Filed under: Allapsidae sp.
Lineage: Eukaryota; Cercozoa; Glissomonadida; Viridiraptoridae
Description: SSU rRNA
Rfam family: Eukaryotic small subunit ribosomal RNA (bases 105-324)
Source: RNAcentral
GAUUUCUGGUCUGGUGCGCCUGGCCCGCGCCUCUUAGGUUGUGAGUGCCGGGUCGCGCCUGCCAUCCUUCUAGAGACCCUCUCUACCCUUCACUGGGCCGGAGACGGGCUUUCUAGAUCUUUUACUUUGAAAAAAUUAGAGUGUUUCAAGCAGGCUUUAUGCUAUGAAUACAUUAGCAUGGAAUAAUAAUUUAGGACUUCGGUUCUAUUUUGUUGGUUUCUAGGACUGAAGUAAUGAUUGAUAGGGAUAGUUGGGGGUGCUAGUAUUCAGCGGCCAGAGGUGAAAUUCUCGGAUUCGCUGAAGACUAACUUAUGCGAAAGCAUU